AGGGGAGCUAAUACCGGAUAACAAUGUUUAACAUAAGUUGAAUAUUUGAAAGCUCCGGCGCUGAUUGAUGAGUCUGCGUCCCAUUAGCUUGUUGGUGUGGUAGCGGCACACCAAGGCCACGAUGGGUAGCGGGUUUGAGAGGACGAUCCGCCACACUGGAACUGAGACACGGUCCAGACUCCUACGGGAGGCAGCAGUGGGGAAUAUUGCACAAUGGAGGAAACUCUGAUGCAGCAAUGCCGCGUGAGUGAAGAAGGCCCUUGGGUCGUAAAGCUCUUUUAUGGGGGAAGAUGAUGACGGUACCCCAGGAAUAAGCACCGGCUAACUACGUGCCAGCAGCCGCGGUAAUACGUAGGGUGCGAGCGUUGUUCGGAAUUACUGGGCGUAAAGGGCGCGCAGGCGGAGGUGCAAGUCGGAGGUGAAAGCCCGGGGCUCAACCCCGGAGGGUCUUUCGAAACUGCAUUUCUAGAGAGGGUCAGGGGCCGGCAGAAUUCCUGGUGUAGAGGUGAAAUUCGUAGAUAUCAGGAGGAAUACCGGUGGCGAAAGCGGCCGGCUGGGGCCACUCUGACGCUGAGGCGCGAAAGCGUGGGGAGCAAACAGGAUUAGAUACCCUGGUAGUC
This 620-nucleotide ribosomal RNA is filed under the name uncultured SAR324 cluster bacterium. RNAcentral's name for it is "bacterial SSU rRNA". It matches the Rfam family "Bacterial small subunit ribosomal RNA", at positions 156 to 795 of the family's 1533-position model. The record is from RNAcentral. Lineage: Bacteria; Deltaproteobacteria.